Molecule: unclassified non-coding RNA, 936 nt
Filed under: Hevea brasiliensis (rubber tree)
Lineage: Eukaryota; Viridiplantae; Streptophyta; Magnoliopsida; Malpighiales; Euphorbiaceae
Source: RNAcentral
AAGUCAUAUCCCACACAAACUCUCUCUUCUUGGUCUUCUCUUCUUGUAUUCUCCUUUAAAUAUUCACAUUAGUGUUAUAAUACUACCAAAAGCGUCCAGUUUUAACAGCUUCCGGUGAAUAGAAUAAUCUUGCAGAGCCGCAGCCAUGGACUCCGGCGGCGAGAUUCGGAUCCACCAAACCCGACGGCUUCCAGAUUUCUUGCAGAGCGUGAAUCUCAAGUAUGUCAAACUAGGCUACCACUAUCUAAUCUCUAAUCUAUUGACCUUGUGCUUCAUUCCUUUGAUGAUAAUUACCUCAAUCGAAGCCUCCCAAAUGAAUCUCGAUGAUCUCCGUCACCUCUGGCUCCACCUUCAGUAUAAUCUCGUUAGCAUCAUUAUCUGCUCUGCUUUUCUCGUUUUCGGUUUAACCGUUUACAUUAUGACCCGACCUAGACCCGUUUAUUUGGUCGAUUAUGCUUGUUUUCGUGCCCCCGAUAAUCUCAAGGCUCCAUUUGACCGCUUCAUGGAGCACUCUAGGCUCACUGGAGAUUUUGACGAGUCAUCGCUCGAGUUCCAGCGUAAGAUUUUGGAGCGUUCUGGGCUGGGAGAGGAGACUUAUGUUCCUGAAGCUAUGAUUUAUAUUCCUCCGAGGCCGUCCAUGGCUGCCGCCAGGGAGGAGGCUGAGCAGGUCAUGUUUGGUGCUUUGGAUAAUCUGUUUGCUAACACUAAUGUGAAUCCUAAGAAUAUUGGCAUUCUUGUUGUGAAUUGUAGUUUGUUUAACCCAACACCAUCACUUUCUGCUAUGAUUGUGAAUAAGUAUAAACUCAGGGGUAAUAUUAGGAGUUUCAAUCUGGGAGGGAUGGGUUGUAGUGCUGGAGUUAUUGCGGUGGAUCUCGCUAAAGAUUUGUUGCAAGUUCAUCGGAAUACUUAUGCAGUUGUUGUCAGUACCGAGAAUAU